GAUGAAGAACGCAGCGAAAUGCGAUAAGUAAUGUGAAUUGCAGAAUUCCGUGAAUCAUCGAAUCUUUGAACGCACAUUGCGCCCCCCAGUAUUCUGGCGGGCAUGCCUGUUCGAGCGUCAUUUCAACCAUCAAGCCCUGCUUGUGUUGGGGUCCUGCGGCUGCCCGCAGGCCCUGAAAACCAGUGGCGGGCUCGCUAGUCACACCGAGCGCAGUAGCACAUCUCGCUCAGGGCGUGCGGCGGGCUCCAGCCGUUAAAGCACCCACCUUUCGCAAGGUUGACCUCGGAUCAGGUAGGAAUACCCGCUGAACUUAAGCAUAUCAAUAAGCGGAGGA
RNAcentral lists this unclassified non-coding RNA (334 nucleotides) under soil metagenome. Its description in RNAcentral is "partial contains 5.8S ribosomal RNA, internal transcribed spacer 2, and large subunit ribosomal RNA". The stretch from base 1 to 120 matches the Rfam family "5.8S ribosomal RNA", at positions 35 to 154 of the family's 154-position model. The record is from RNAcentral.